AUUGAACGCUGGCGGCAGGCCUAACACAUGCAAGUCGAACGGUAACAGGAAGAAGCUUGCUUCUUUGCUGACGAGUGGCGGACGGGUGAGUAAUGUCUGGGAAACUGCCUGAUGGAGGGGGAUAACUACUGGAAACGGUAGCUAAUACCGCAUAACGUCGCAAGACCAAAAGAGGGGGACCUUCGGGCCUCUUGCCAUCGGAUGUGCCCAGAUGGGAUUAGCUAGUAGGUGGGGUAACGGCUCACCUAGGCGACGAUCCCUAGCUGGUCUGAGAGGAUGACCAGCCACACUGGAACUGAGACACGGUCCAGACUCCUACGGGAGGCAGCAGUGGGGAAUAUUGCACAAUGGGCGCAAGCCUGAUGCAGCCAUGCCGCGUGUAUGAAGAAGGCCUCGGUUGU
RNAcentral lists this ribosomal RNA (401 nucleotides) under uncultured bacterium. Its description in RNAcentral is "bacterial SSU rRNA". It matches the Rfam family "Bacterial small subunit ribosomal RNA", at positions 30 to 426 of the family's 1533-position model. The record is from RNAcentral.